RNAcentral lists this ribosomal RNA (915 nucleotides) under Chitinophaga sp. IMER-B2-8. RNAcentral's name for it is "bacterial SSU rRNA". It matches the Rfam family "Bacterial small subunit ribosomal RNA", at positions 37 to 953 of the family's 1533-position model. Lineage: Bacteria; Pseudomonadati; Bacteroidota; Chitinophagia; Chitinophagales; Chitinophagaceae. The record is from RNAcentral.
UAGUCGAUUCGAUCGAGCUAUCAUGCAGUCGAGGGGCAGCGGGGGUAGCAAUACCUGCCGGCGACCGGCAAACGGGUGAGGAGCACGUACGCAACCUUCCUUCAAGCGGGGGAUAGCCCGGAGAAAUCCGGAUUAAUACCCCAUAGGAUUGUGGAUCGGCAUCGAUCAGCAAUUAAAGAUUUAUCACUUGAAGAUGGGCGUGCGUCUGAUUAGGUAGUUGGUGAGGUAACGGCUCACCAAGCCGACGAUCAGUAACUGGCGUGAGAGCGCGACCAGUCACACGGGCACUGAGACACGGGCCCGACUCCUACGGGAGGCAGCAGUAAGGAAUAUUGGUCAAUGGACGCAAGUCUGAACCAGCCAUGCCGCGUGGAGGAUGAAGGUCCUCUGGAUUGUAAACUUCUUUUAUCUGGGAAGAAAUGGUUGCUUUCUAGCGAUCUUGACGGUACCAGAUGAAUAAGCACCGGCUAACUCCGUGCCAGCAGCCGCGGUAAUACGGAGGGUGCAAGCGUUAUCCGGAUUCACUGGGUUUAAAGGGUGCGUAGGCGGAACAGAAAGUCCGUUGUGAAAUCUCCCAGCUUAACUCGGAAAUUGCGGUGGAUACUAUUGUUCUUGAAUACUGUUGAGGGUAGCGGAAUAUGUCAUGUAGCGGUGAAAUGCGUAGAUAUGACAUAUAACACCAAUUGCGAAAGCAGCUGGCUUAACAGAUAUUGACGCUGAAGCACCAAAGCGUGGGGGAUCAAACAAGGAUAGAUACCCUGGGAGUCCACGCCCUAAACGAUGAAUACUCCACAUUUGCGAUACACACACGUGUCUGAGCGAAAGCAUUAAUAAUCCACCUGGGAAGACGACCGCCCGGUUGAACUCAAAGGAAUGACGGGGGUCCGCACAACCGUGGAGCAUGUGGUUUAUUCG